UUCCGGUUGAUCCUGCCGGAGGUCAUUGCUAUUGGAGUCCGAUUUAGCCAUGCUAGUUGCACGAGUUUAGACUCGUAGCAGAUAGCUCAGUAACACGUGGCCAAACUACCCUAUGGAUCCGGAUACCCUCGGGAAACUGAGACUAAUCUGGAAUAGCGUUCAUCGCCUGGAGUGGCACGAACGCGAAACGUUACGGCGCCAUAGGAUGUGGCUGCGGCCGAUUAGGUAGACGGUGGGGUAACGGCCCACCGUGCCCAUAAUCGGUACGGGUUGUGAGAGCAAGAGCCCGGAGACGGUAUCUGAGACAAGAUACCGGGCCCUACGGGGCGCAGCAGGCGCGAAACCUUUACACUGCACGCGAGUGCGAUAAGGGGACUCCAAGUGCGAGGGCAUAUAGUCCUCGCUUUUCGCGACCGUAAGGAGGUCGCAGAAUAAGUGCUGGGCAAGACCGGUGCCAGCCGCCGCGGUAAUACCGGCAGCACGAGUGAUGACCGCUAUUAUUGGGCCUAAAGCGUCCGUAGCUGGCCACGCAAGUUCGUCGGGAAAUCUGCGCGCUUAACGCGCAGGCGUCCGGUGGAAACUGCAUGGCUUGGGACCGGAAGACCAGAGGGGUACGUCCGGGGUAGGAGUGAAAUCCCGUAAUCCUGGACGGACCACCGGUGGCGAAAGCGCCUCUGGAAGACGGAUCCGACGGUGAGGGACGAAAGCUCGGGUCACGAACCGGAUUAGAUACCCGGGUAGUCCGAGCUGUAAACGAUGUCUGCUAAGUUUGGUACAGGCCACGAGCCUGUACUGAGCUGUAGGGAAGCCGUGAAGCAGACCGCCUGGGAAGUACGUCCGCAAGGAUGAAACUUAAAGGAAUUGGCGGGGGAGCACUACAACCGGAGGAGCCUGCGGUUUAAUUGGAUUCAACGCCGGA
RNAcentral lists this ribosomal RNA (919 nucleotides) under uncultured archaeon. RNAcentral's name for it is "bacterial SSU rRNA". It matches the Rfam family "Archaeal small subunit ribosomal RNA", at positions 1 to 922 of the family's 1478-position model. The record is from RNAcentral.